AACCCCUAUCCUAUGUUGCCAGCGAGUAAUGUCGGGAACUCAUGGGAGACUGCCGCAGACAAUGCGGAGGAAGGCGGGGAUGACGUCAAGUCAUCAUGCCCCUUAUGUCUUGGGCUACACACGUACUACAAUGGACUUAAAUAGAGGGAAGCAAUACCGCGAGGUGGAGCCAAACCCAGAAACAAGUUCUCAGUUCGGAUUGUAGGCUGCAACUCGCCUACAUGAAGUCGGAAUCGCUAGUAAUCGCAGGUCAGCAUACUGCGGUGAAUACGUUCCCGGGCCUUGUACACACCGCCCGUCACACCACGAAAGUCAGUCACACCCAAAGCCGGUGAGAUAACCGCAAGGAGUCAGCCGUCUAAGGUGGGGCCGAUGAUUGGGGU
This 383-nucleotide ribosomal RNA is filed under the name uncultured bacterium. RNAcentral describes it as "bacterial SSU rRNA". It matches the Rfam family "Bacterial small subunit ribosomal RNA", at positions 1100 to 1481 of the family's 1533-position model. The record is from RNAcentral.